GACCUAACCCGCCAUUGGCGGUAUGGUUGUUACAAAUCCAUCGUGAAAUAAAAGCUCGUCGUCAGAGCACUGUUUCACGAUAGUCGGUACUGGAAACGGUACCGGGUAGCUUCGGCUAUC
This 120-nucleotide small RNA is filed under the name unclassified sequences. RNAcentral's name for it is "LOOT RNA". It matches the Rfam family "LOOT RNA". Rfam says of the family: Latescibacteria, OD1/Parcubacteria, OP11, TM7. The record is from Rfam by way of RNAcentral.